RNAcentral lists this long non-coding RNA (2440 nucleotides) under Oryza brachyantha (malo sina). RNAcentral describes it as "long non-coding RNA (OBRA_LNC001244)". The stretch from base 1422 to 1630 matches the Rfam family "MIR812 microRNA precursor family". Lineage: Eukaryota; Viridiplantae; Streptophyta; Magnoliopsida; Poales; Poaceae. The record is from RNAcentral.
UAGUACUAUAGGUAACUAUUACCUGGAGGUACCAAGUUUUUACGUUAGAAAAUAUUGUCAUUAGAAAAUAUAGUACUUAAGUUACAUUUUCAAAGAUGGUAAAAACCCCAACUAUGUUAAUGACACCAAACUAUUAGUAAACUACAAUUCGAGAUUGUCCUGCCUUAUGGAGUGCAAAUCUGGUAUAUCAGGCAGCGUUGGGCAGGGAUCAAUUUGUGCAACUACACUUAAACUGAACUCUUUGCUUUCCAAGUGCUCCACUUAAACUGAAAGAUUCUACACUCCGAAUCUCAUUCAGAGUGUCAUGCUUUCGGUGUAACGUUUUUCAUAUCAAACUUAGAAACCCAGUUGGUGCAGAAUAUCUGUGGUCCAUUAUUUUACUACGAUAUGGGAGCUAUGUUUUGACUUUUGACCAUUACUUAUUUAUCACUUUAUAUUAAGAGUGUUGGAAGUUGAAUUACGGGCUGUCUCAUUUAUCUCACUAUUGACUUGACUGCUCAUGUGGACUGGCAUCAUGUUUGUCACUUGGUCACUUACUAUGCCGUUGCCAAGUCUUCUGAGCUGUAUUGUAUACUGACACCUUCCUACGAUGCUUGAAUUGCAGCCUUUGUUUGAUGGCCUCACCUGCAUCGCCGAGAGAGAUCACCCAGGAAGCUGCCCGUCGGUCUCUGAUCGCGAUCUCCCGGUCCGUUCCGGCGGCAGGAGAGGCCCUGAACAUCAAGUUACCGGACGGCGGCAUGGCCAACGGGCACGACGACGGCGGCGCCGAGAAGUACAGAUCAAAGCUCAUCUCCAUCUCCAACCUGUCGCCUGAUGGCCAGCCCACGCCGUGCCCUCCCAAGGAUCACACCGCUGCUGCUUAGGCUUAAAAUUAACCGUGUAACGCUACGGCUUACUACUAUAGCUCUUCCAAAGUGUGGAUACCACCGUGUCCCGGGCGUGUGUUGCUGAAUGCUAUAGCGCCGAAACAGUUGUCAGGACCCUUGUGUUGGUCUUAAAUAACUGCCAUAGCUGAGUGGUCUUUAGAAUGAAACUUCCAAGCUGGAUACUGCUUAUGUGUGGUGUGGAAUUGCAUCUUGGGCUGAAAUCUUCUCGGCUCCAAAACUGGAAGAACAGUCGUGGCCUGGAGUUCUGCAGAUGCACUUGAUCGCUAUCUCGUUCUUGAGGCCAUAGAAGUAAUCGACGUAAAAUUAGAUCUUUAUUUGAGCCAUUCGAUCUGAAUACUACGCGAUGAAUAACACAGGAGUGGAGCCAGGGAGGGGCGAGCAUAGGCCUCGCCUACCCCGAGCUCUGCACAACUUCAUUGGCUCUGAUAAUAAGGUACAAGGAUUCGAAAGAAUGGUAUUAUUGUCAUAUAAUGGUAUAAUCGCCAUAUUAUAGUCAAAAGCGCAGUAGUAGUACCCCGUGUUAAUUUAGUACUUACUCCGUCCCAUUUUGUAGUUUUUAAAUAUAAUGUUUUAACUUUUCGUCUUAUUUAAACUUUUUUUGCGAUUAAUAUUUUUUUAUUACUAGAUAAUAAAAUAUGAAUAGUAUUUUAUAUGGGACUAAUUUUUUUAAGUUUUUAUACAAAUUUUUCAAAUAAGACGGACGGUCAAACAUUAGACACGGAAAAACGAAAAAUGAAAUUACUGUGGGACGGUACUGGGUUUUACGCACUUGUUUCUAAAUUGCUAAAUCUAUUUAUCACUUUAUAUUAAGAGUGUUGGAAGUUGAAUUACGGGCUGUCUCAUUUAUCUCACUAUUGACUUGACUGCUCAUGUGGACUGGCAUCAUGUUUGUCACUUGGUCACUUACUAUGCCGUUGCCAAGUCUUCUGAGCUGUAUUGUAUACUGACACCUUCCUACGAUGCUUGAAUUGCAGCCUUUGUUUGAUGGCCUCACCUGCAUCGCCGAGAGAGAUCACCCAGGAAGCUGCCCGUCGGUCUCUGAUCGCGAUCUCCCGGUCCGUUCCGGCGGCAGGAGAGGCCCUGAACAUCAAGUUACCGGACGGCGGCAUGGCCAACGGGCACGACGACGGCGGCGCCGAGAAGUACAGAUCAAAGCUCAUCUCCAUCUCCAACCUGUCGCCUGAUGGCCAGCCCACGCCGUGCCCUCCCAAGGAUCACACCGCUGCUGCUUAGGCUUAAAAUUAACCGUGUAACGCUACGGCUUACUACUAUAGCUCUUCCAAAGUGUGGAUACCACCGUGUCCCGGGCGUGUGUUGCUGAAUGCUAUAGCGCCGAAACAGUUGUCAGGACCCUUGUGUUGGUCUUAAAUAACUGCCAUAGCUGAGUGGUCUUUAGAAUGAAACUUCCAAGCUGGAUACUGCUUAUGUGUGGUGUGGAAUUGCAUCUUGGGCUGAAAUCUUCUCGGCUCCAAAACUGGAAGAACAGUCGUGGCCUGGAGUUCUGCAGAUGCACUUGAUCGCUAUCUCGUUCUUGAGGCCAUAGAAGUAAUCGA